Molecule: long non-coding RNA, 2177 nt
Organism: Hevea brasiliensis (rubber tree)
Lineage: Eukaryota; Viridiplantae; Streptophyta; Magnoliopsida; Malpighiales; Euphorbiaceae
Exons: 2
Source: RefSeq, a predicted model, not a curated record
GUCAUUUCUGGAACUGAAAAACCAGCUGGUAGGGUCGGGUCUGCACAUAUCUUUUGUCUUUUUUAACGUUUGCUUUCCACUCUUCUUACUACUCUUCUUAUAACCCGCGUGCGAUAUCAUUCCCUUCAUCAUCUCCUCAUGAUCACCAAAAUCUCUCUCUCUCUCUCUCUCUCUCUCCCCUCUCCCUCUCGCUCUCAACCCCCUUGAAGAUAGGCGAGACUCUUGGGGGAUAAAGAGAUAAGAAACGAGCCCAAGAAAUACACACGCCCACGCACUAAAUUCAUCUCUCUUUCUCUGGAAUGAAUUCGAAGGAAGCUUCUCUUUUGAGGGGAAUGUUGUCUGGCUCGAGGACUCUCUUUUGAUCCAUUUUUUCUCAAAUUAUAUAUAUCCAUAGAUCUGAUCUAGGGCAUAUAUGGAUGUAGAAAGUAGAUUGAUCAUCAGCUAGUGUCGUCGGACCAGGCUUCAUUCCCCCCAAUUAAUGCUUCCAUCCUGAUUUUUCAAGGCCUGCACGUAAAGGCGAAUCAAGAUUGUUAGACCUUUGCAGAUUGGUGUAAUGAUGAAGUGUUUGACCAUCCACUUUGAAUAAAAGUUUCAUCAUUAUCCUCUUUUUAUUUUUCUUUUUCCUGUUGUUGCGAUGAUGGUGUUUUUUGUCAGCCUUUUUCUAGUUCUUCAUUAUGCAGAUUUCUCUCAUGAUGGCUUCCAGUAUCUGAUCUGUUCGUUUCUGGUACCUUCAGAUCUGGCUUUCAACUGUGGUAAAAGUUCUAUGCUUCUCCUCCUCCUCCUUCUUUUAAUGCUGCUCUUUCAUGCUCUAAUCUCAAAAUAAAUCUUUUAGAAAAGGCAUAACCUGGGGGAAGAUGUACUAGCAGGAAAGCGAUUCCCUUCCCGUUCUCUAUUUCUGUCAUUAUUUGAAAAGUCGCUUGAUUUUGUAGAUUUUAUUAGUGUAGAAGUAUACAUAAAUACUUUAUAUCUUUUUUUAUAUAUAUAUAGAAACAUUUUUAGUAGAUGCCACUGUGGUGCUUGGCGCUUGGUAUACAUGUAAUAUAUAUGAAAAGUUUUGUGAUGCUUCUAUCAUUUGUUUAUCUGCUUCUGCUCUAAGCAAGUACUUCUGUUUUUCUCUAUAGACCAAGUUGAAUAGUUGAACAUUAUAGGAUCAUUUGAUUUGCAUGCCAUUAAUAUUGGUGAUGGACCUCCAUUAUUAAGGACAUUGGUUUUGUCCUAUUGAUUUACUCUUUUCUUUCUUUGAGUUGGGUAUUAGACCAUUGUGUUUAUACAUGUGAGGACAACGACGUCUGCGUCUCAUUAAGGGAACCCCACAAGUCUUGGCUUUGUUAUCUCCUUGUUUAAACCCUAAUUCAUUCCAAAGAUGAUUUGUUUGUAAUAAAUUUGGAAACUUAAAUUCUAGAUUGGUUUCAGAACUUCCACUUUUGUCUCUUCAUUUGAGUUGGUAUUAUUAGUAUGAGAAUCAUUUUGAUAAAUAUGGGCACUAAUGAAAUUCACUUGAACAGCCAGCCAAAUGUUGUCCACUUGAUAUUGUGAGUUGAAACAGCAGGUUUCUAUGUGAAGUGUCCAUGCUCAUCAAUGGAUUGAUUGAUAAUGAUGGGUGAAAUGGAACGUUUGAUUGAUUUACAGAGAAAACAUUGUGCAACUAAAGCACAUGCUUAAGCAGUGAGGUUUUUUCUACUUUUGUGCUUUCUCGUUGUACAUUUGAGAGGGUUAGUGAUAAACCCAUUGGAUCAACAAGUGUUUUCAGUAGUGGUUGGUGAUUAAUAUACUAUCUGCACUUCUGAAAUUUUUUUAUGGGAAUUGAAAGGGAAAACAUAUAUCCCGAAUGAAUGUAAUGAGAGCAGUAGUUGAUUUGAAAGAUGGGCAAAAUAGUGGUCUAGUUUCCAUGCUCUCUAGGGCAUAGGCGACACAUCUUCUUGCCCCCAACCUCCCUUCCUUCUUCUUGCUCUUCCUCACACACAGAUUUCCACAGUGCAUCUGUGUGACAAGGAAAGGAAUAGCAUUGAAUAUAGGUUUCUGUGUAUUCCUUCCCAUCCUGUUCAUAUAUGGAAAGCAGGUUUGGAAUCUAGGAAGCAUCUGUCAUUUUUAUAAUUUCAUUUCUAAUGCACCUUCACAUUAUUCAGAACAAUGUUGAUGCUAUAUUAAUUAAAAGGGUAAGGUUGUUUUAGCUUUUA